Molecule: transfer RNA, 76 nt
Filed under: Cordylochernes scorpioides
Lineage: Eukaryota; Metazoa; Arthropoda; Arachnida; Pseudoscorpiones; Chernetidae
Description: tRNA-Thr
Source: RNAcentral
UGUCAAGGGAUGGGAAUCGAACCCACGACCUUCCGCUUACCGGGCAGGAUGCCAUGACCACUAGGCUACCCUGGAC